GACGAACGCUGGCGGCGUGCUUAACACAUGCAAGUCGAACGAAGUCGCGAACGGGUGAGUAACGCGUCAUCAACCUGCCCUUCAGAAGGGGACAACAGUUGGCACCGACUGCUAAUACCGCAUACGGCAGUAGGGGGGUGCGUCUGCUUAGCUAGUUGGAGGGGGAACGGCCCACCAAGGCGAGGAUAAGUAGCCUGUCUUGGAGGAUGAACGGCCACAUUGGGACUGAGACACGGCCCAGACCUCUACGGGAGGGAGCAGUGGGGAAUCUUUCGAAAUGGACGAAAGUCUGACGGAGCAAAGGCGCGUGAGGGAUGACGGCUUUCGGGUUGUAAAGCUCUGUUAAGCGGGACGCGGUACCGGAAUAGAAAGCCACGGCUAACUACGUGCCAGCAGCCGCGGUAAUUC
RNAcentral lists this ribosomal RNA (408 nucleotides) under uncultured bacterium. RNAcentral's name for it is "partial 16S ribosomal RNA". It matches the Rfam family "Bacterial small subunit ribosomal RNA", at positions 28 to 526 of the family's 1533-position model. The record is from RNAcentral.